Molecule: ribosomal RNA, 253 nt
Filed under: uncultured bacterium
Lineage: Bacteria
Description: partial 16S ribosomal RNA
Rfam family: Bacterial small subunit ribosomal RNA
Source: RNAcentral
GACGGAGGAUGCAAGUGUUAUCCGGAAUCACUGGGCGUAAAGCGUCUGUAGGUGGUUUAAUAAGUCAACUGUUAAAUCUUGAGGCUCAACCUCAAAAUCGCAGUCGAAACUAUUAGGCUAGAGUAUAGUAGGGGCAGAGGGAAUUUCCGGUGGAGCGGUGAAAUGCAUUGAGAUCGGAAAGAACACCAACGGCGAAAGCACUCUGCUGGGCCGACACUGACACUGAGAGACGAAAGCUAGGGGAGCAAAUGGG